AAAUAAGAAGCAAUCUUUUGCAUCUAGUUUCGACCUAGAAGUUUGACCUGCCCAGUCCUUAUUUA
This 65-nucleotide transfer RNA is filed under the name Cryptocephalus pominorum. RNAcentral describes it as "tRNA-Arg". Lineage: Eukaryota; Metazoa; Arthropoda; Insecta; Coleoptera; Chrysomelidae. The record is from RNAcentral.